AUUGAACGCUGGCGGCAGGCUUAACAUAUGCAAGUCGAGCGGGGGAAGGUAGCUUGCUACCGGACCUAGCGGCGGACGGGUGAGUAAUGCUUAGGAAUCUGCCUAUUAGUGGGGGACAACAUUCCGAAAGGAAUGCUAAUACCGCAUACGCCCUACGAGGGAAAGCAGGGGAUCUUCGGACCUUGCGCUAAUAGAUGAGCCUAAGUCGGAUUAGCUAGUUGGUGGGGUGAAGGCCUACCAAGGCGACGAUCUGUAGCGGGUCUGAGAGGAUGAUCCGCCACACUGGGACUGAGACACGGCCCAGACUCCUACGGGAGGCAGCAGUGGGGAAUAUUGGACAAUGGGCGGAAGCCUGAUCCAGCCAUGCCGCGUGUGUGAAGAAGGCCUUUUGGUUGUAAAGCACUUUAAGCGAGGAGGAGGCUACUUAGAUUAAUACUCUGGGAUAGUGGACGUUACUCGCAGAAUAAGCACCGGCUAACUCUGUGCCAGCAGCCGCAGUAA
RNAcentral lists this ribosomal RNA (501 nucleotides) under uncultured bacterium. RNAcentral describes it as "partial 16S ribosomal RNA". It matches the Rfam family "Bacterial small subunit ribosomal RNA", at positions 30 to 523 of the family's 1533-position model. The record is from RNAcentral.